RNAcentral lists this ribosomal RNA (447 nucleotides) under uncultured bacterium. RNAcentral's name for it is "bacterial SSU rRNA". It matches the Rfam family "Bacterial small subunit ribosomal RNA", at positions 329 to 793 of the family's 1533-position model. The record is from RNAcentral.
UACCAGACUCCUACGGGAGGCAGCAGUGGGGAAUAUUGCACAAUGGGGGAAGCCCUGAUGCAGCGACGCCGCGUGAGUGAAGAAGUAAUUCGUUAUGUAAAGCUCUAUCAGCAGGGAAGAAAAUGACGGUACCUGAGUAAGAAGCCCCGGCUAACUACGUGCCAGCAGCCGCGGUAAUACGUAGGGGGCAAGCGUUAUCCGGAUUUACUGGGUGUAAAGGGAGCGUAGACGGCUGUGCAAGCCAGAUGUGAAAGCCCGGGGCUCAACCCCGGGACUGCAUUUGGAACUGCGUGGCUUGAGUGUCGGAGAGGCAGGCGGAAUUCCUAGUGUAGCGGUGAAAUGCGUAGAUAUUAGGAGGAACACCAGUGGCGAAGGCGGCCUGCUGGACGAUGACUGACGUUGAGGCUCGAAAGCGUGGGGAGCAAACAGGAUUAGAUACCCUAGUAC